RNAcentral lists this ribosomal RNA (253 nucleotides) under uncultured bacterium. Its description in RNAcentral is "partial 16S ribosomal RNA". It matches the Rfam family "Bacterial small subunit ribosomal RNA", at positions 524 to 776 of the family's 1533-position model. The record is from RNAcentral.
UACGGAGGGUGCAAGCGUUAUCCGGAUUCACUGGGUUUAAAGGGUGCGUAGGCGGGUAUAUAAGUCAGUGGUGAAAGCUCCGGGCUUAACUUGGAAACUGCCAUUGAUACUGUAUACCUUGAAUGUCGUAGAGGUUAGCGGAAUGUUGCAUGUAGCGGUGAAAUGCUUAGAUAUGUUACAGAACACCAAUUGCGAAGGCAGCUAACUAUGCGAUGAUUGACGCUGAGGCACGAAAGCGUGGGGAGCAAACAGG